Cheilinus undulatus (humphead wrasse) is the source of this 784-nucleotide long non-coding RNA. RefSeq lists it as uncharacterized. The transcript is spliced from 3 exons. The record is from RefSeq and is a predicted model, not a curated record. Lineage: Eukaryota; Metazoa; Chordata; Actinopteri; Labriformes; Labridae.
GCCAAGUCAACGGUCCAAGUCAACAGUCCAAGUCAACGGUCCAAUAUCUGCCCAAGAUAUCUACUAUGGACUUCAUUCAGAAAUGUAUGGGUAACGAUCAAAUCGCAGAAAUAGCAGGAGAAAAAGCAGGUGACAUCGUUACCGAUAUUACAAAGAAAGUUCUCUGUGGCACCAAGGACGGAGGGGAUGAAGGUUCAGACAGCAAAGGAGGACCUGGUCUUGGUGACCUUGCAAAACUAGCUAGUGGUGCUGUGGGUGACAAAGACAAAGAUGUGGGUGUCAGUGACGUACUCAAUUUUCUUAAAUGAGACGGAGGUGUAUGAGGACCAGACCAGUUCUGGGUAAAACCAUCGUCUGAUCACAUGACCACCUCCUGACCAAUCCUUCAUCUGGGCUCUCCUCAGCCUCCAUCAGGAGCUUCUAAGAUUGAUUUAAAUGUGGAGGGAUUCUUUUUAUCUUUAGUGUCAGUAUACUGAAGUUUUUAAGUUUUCAUUAAAAUAUGCUUAAACUACAAUAAUUUAUCCGAUUAAUCUGAUUAGAUUGAUCAAUCUGAUGAAAAUGAUUAAUCUGAUUAAUCUGAUUAAUUCAUCUUUCUUUGGUUGUGAGAACACAUGAAUGUAUAGAACAUGUAUCUGUGAUGAGUGAACAGGAUCUGUCAUCAAUAAAACAGCUACAGAUAAAACAGUUUCAUGUAUUUUAGUGAAGGAUGAGAACACUUACUACAAGCUUAUUGAAGCCCUUGUUUUUUUGGUAUUUGAAUAAUUGAAUGAUGUUUUAUUUUACA